Schistosoma curassoni is the source of this 45-nucleotide non-coding RNA. The record is from Rfam. NCBI's taxonomy places the organism in Eukaryota, Metazoa, Platyhelminthes, Trematoda, Strigeidida, Schistosomatidae.
AUCCAGCUGAUGAGUCCCAAUGAGGACGAAAUGCGCGUCCUACAU